RNAcentral lists this ribosomal RNA (310 nucleotides) under uncultured bacterium. RNAcentral describes it as "bacterial SSU rRNA". It matches the Rfam family "Bacterial small subunit ribosomal RNA", at positions 29 to 322 of the family's 1533-position model. The record is from RNAcentral.
AGCGAACGUUAGCGGCAGGCCUAACACAUGCAAGUCGCACGAGAAUUCGGCUUCGGCCGAUAGUAAAGUGGCGGACGGGUGAGUAACACGUGGAUAAUCUGCCCUUCGGCGGGGACGAACAGUCCGAAAGGAGUUGCUAAUACCGCAUAAGUCAGCUGGUCCUUGGACCUAGUUGGGAAAGAUGGCCUCUUCAUGAAGCUAUCUCCGAAGGAUGAGUCCGCGUCCCAUCAGCUUGUUGGCGGUGUAAGAGACCACCAAGGCUAAGACGGGUAGCUGGUCUGAGAGGAUGAGUCAGCCACACUGGAACUGA